CAUGCCGUAAACGAUGAGUGCUAAGUGUUAGGGGGUUUCCGCCCCUUAGUGCUGCAGCUAACGCAUUAAGCACUCCGCCUGGGGAGUACGACCGCAAGGUUGAAACUCAAAGGAAUUGACGGGGGCCCGCACAAGCGGCGGAGCAUGCGGAUUAAUUCGAUGCAACGCGAAGAACCUUACCAAGGCUUGACAUAUAGAGGAAACGGCCAGAGAUGGUCGCCCCGCAAGGUCUCUAUACAGGUGG
This 244-nucleotide ribosomal RNA is filed under the name uncultured bacterium. Its description in RNAcentral is "partial 16S ribosomal RNA". It matches the Rfam family "Bacterial small subunit ribosomal RNA", at positions 796 to 1041 of the family's 1533-position model. The record is from RNAcentral.